RNAcentral lists this ribosomal RNA (621 nucleotides) under uncultured bacterium. Its description in RNAcentral is "bacterial SSU rRNA". It matches the Rfam family "Bacterial small subunit ribosomal RNA", at positions 60 to 650 of the family's 1533-position model. The record is from RNAcentral.
AGUCGAGCGCGCAAAGUUCCCUUCGGGGAGCAAUUAGCGCGGCGAAAGGGUGAGUAAUGCAUGAGUAACGUACCCUGGGCACGAGGAUAGUCCACCGAAAGGUGGAGCAAUACUCGAUUAUAUCACAUGGAUUUCGAUUCGAGUGAUCAAAGGGUGGGGAUUCCUUCGGGGACCCGCCGGCCCGGGAUCGGCCCAUGUUCCAUCAGCUUGUUGGUAGGGUAAAGGCCUACCAAGGCGACGACGGAUAGCCGGACUGAGAGGUUGACCGGCCUCAUUGGGACUGAGACACUGCCCAGACUCCUACGGGAGGCUGCAGGGAUGAAUAUUCCGCAAUGGGCGAAAGCCUGACGGAGCGACGCCGCGUGUGGGAAGAAGCUCUUCGGGGUGUAAACCACCGUCAGGGGCUACCAAGCAAAUCCCUUUAAUAGAGGGAGGGCGUUGAGGGAGCCCCAGAGGGAAGCCACGGCUAACUUCGUGCCAGCAGCCGCGGUAAGACGAAGGUGGCAAGCCGUUGUUCGGAAUUACCGGGCUUAAAGAGCACGUAGGCGGCCCGUUAAGCGUUUUGUGAAAUCCCUCGGCUCAACCGAGGAAUUGCUUGGCGAACUGGCGGGCUUGAGGCAG